CGCUAUCAGAUGAGCCUAGGUCGGAUUAGCUAGUUGGUGAGGUAAUGGCUCACCAAGGCGACGAUCCGUAACUGGUCUGAGAGGAUGAUCAGUCACACUGGAACUGAGACACGGUCCAGACUCCUACGGGAGGCAGCAGUGGGGAAUAUUGGACAAUGGGCGAAAGCCUGAUCCAGACAGACCGCGUGUGUGAAGAAGGUCUUCGGAUUGUAAAGCAAUUGGAGUUGGGAGGAAGGGCAGUUACCUAAUACGUGA
Molecule: ribosomal RNA, 255 nt
Filed under: uncultured bacterium
Lineage: Bacteria
Description: partial 16S ribosomal RNA
Rfam family: Bacterial small subunit ribosomal RNA
Source: RNAcentral